CAUAUGCGUGAUGACGUCCAUUUUUUCUGGAGGGACUGUAGUCGGCGUUGUAUACUAGUCUUGCGUAUGACAGUUGGCAAAAGCAAGUAGGAUAUCUUUCACUAUAAACAACCAGAAAUGUUAACAUCUAUGAUGAAGCAACUGAACGUGGAGCGAGAACAUCCUGCGGGUGCUGGAUCCUAGAGCGAGAGUGAGUACUGGCCCUGUCUUUUUUUCACCAGCGCCUCCUAUGCUGACCUGCUGCCCUGCCAGUUUGCAAGGCUGUGAGAGUAAGAGUUUGGCGGUAGAGGUGGGUGAGGAGGGUUGGGGUAUCUGACAACCAGAGGGAGGACACUGACAGCCCAGCCAGAUGUCCUCGCCCUUCGUGCCUGUACCUGUCUCCAUCAGAGAUAGGACCCUGCCAGGGGCCAAUGGGAAGCCCAGGCGGGGCCCUCAGAGGACCUCAUCUUUGAACAGUGUCUCCAGCAGCUCUGAGUCCUCCUCCACUAGAGGCCCCGGGGAUGAGAUCCUGGGCCCUGGCCGUGACCCUGGGAGGAGAGGGAAUCGAGUCGGAGGGCCUCGAUCCCAAAGCUCAGAGAGAGGCUGCUGCUUCACUUCUCCACCCUCCCUGUUGCAGUGUCAGAGCCCAGUGACCCGGGCCAGGCUGAACGGGCUGGGGCUGGACCCCACGGUGGAGUACUCCACCUCCUCCCGGACGAACAUGGAUCAGGAAUCACCACCAGGACCUCCAGGGUCCUCAGCCUGGGAAGAGAGGCCCAUCACCCCCACCGUGCUAGGCUACGAGGUCAUGGAGGAGCGGGCCAAGUUGACGGUGUAUAAGGUCCUGGUGAGGAAGACUCAGAAUGAAAGUUGGGUGGUUUUCAGAAGAUACACUGACUUCUCCAGACUCAACGACAAGCUAAAGGAGAUGUUCCCAGGGUUCAGACUGUCUCUGCCUCCAAAGCGCUGGUUCAAAGACAACUACAACUCUGACUUCCUAGAGGACAGACAGCUGGGCCUGCAGGCCUUCCUACAGAACCUGGUGGCACACAAAGACGUUGCCAACUGCAUAGCAGUGCGAGAGUUCCUGUGUUUAGAUGAUCCACCAGGUCCUUUUGACAGUCUGGAGGAGAGCCGGGCAUUCUGUGAGACUCUGGAGGAGAGUAACUAUCGUCUGCAGAAAGAGCUGGUUGAGAAGCAGAGAGAGAUUAGCUCCCUCAAGAAGAGACUGGAGGAGAAGGACCGUCACAUCCACCUUCUGGAGAAGCGCCUCAGCGGGAGUCUCUGACCCCAGAGAGCCAGAGUGGGUUGUCAGCUCAGGGCAGUGAUAGCAGCGUAGACGCAGAUGGAGACGUGGAGUCAUCAACCGCCGAGGCAGACCAGGACAUUAUGUCAGAGGAGAACGGGAAGUGUGAGGCCCACCCGUCUCUGCGUCUCUCAGGGUGUUGGUGUGGGCCUGCCACAGGCAGCUCUCCGCCUGUCAUCGAGGUGACCCAGGUGUGUGACGCUCGGCUGGAGCACUGAGCCACCUGGGACAACUCUGCUCUUCCCUCAAUUCACCCCCUCCUCCCUCCUUCAUGACUGUGAUCACUGUUACUCAAGGAUCUUGGGACUGAAACAUUCUGAGGAUGGGGCUUUGGACGUGACACCCCCUUCCAAACAUUGUUUAGUUUGUUGGCAGGAUAGUUGAUCAACCCCCUGCCUUGCUGCUCAUUUAGACUUCCACAGACCCUGGCCACUGUUUUUCAGAGAGAAUAUGAAUUGGGUGGGGGCACUUUAUUCAGUAACACCCCCAGGUCAUCCCAGCUGCCAGUUAAUCUGACUGGACUCAAUGAUACUGACAGGAGCAGAGUAGGGACACUUUAUCCCGUAACACUCCUUCAAUGGUUGAUUUGUCCCCAUGAAGUUGUGUAUCGAGUAAUUGAGGGACCUUGCAUAGACCUGCAAGGACACUUUACUAUGAAAAAAUAAUAAUAAUAAUAAAAAAAAUGUUUUAACUGAGGGCAGUCCUCAGAUUCACCUAGUCCAUUUGCUAAUCAAAGCUUGAAGACUAUACAUCCAACUCAGAAUGGUGCAAUCAGACCACGUAGGAGGAAUGCAUACAUCUAAUGAACUGGUAACUGUAGCUAGUACUGUAGUUCAUUAGUUUAGUUCUUGGGGUUAGUUGGUUCCACACCUUCUGUAUGAAACAGGUUUCCAGAGCCCCCAGAUCCUGUGGUCUCCCAGCCAAAGAGUGGAUGUGUCUGGAAUGACACCCUAUAUAGAACAGAGCCAUAUGGGUCCUGGUCAAAAGUAGUGCACUGAAUAGCCGAUAGGGUGCCUUUUCAGACACAACCAAAACCUGGAGAGGGACUCGAACACCACCUUAAAGCCGAUUGGAUAAUUGGGUCUUGCAAUAUGAUGAACCAUAUGAAAAUCCAUAGACCGAGAAAUGGAACCUCGCAAAGCUUGACUACUACAGCACCUCUGCAUCAGCGAAACAACACCACCCUGUGGCUAUAGUAGGUAUGGCCACAGACGAUGACUGGACAAGGCGCAUGGGAAUAUUCUGCCGGUCAAUGAUGUGUUCAAGAUGGCAGGGAUUAACAUGCCAUUUCCUGUUAUUAUAAAGGUCAAGGCUGUUAUGGGGUGGUUGGCAGAUAUUUGGAGAAUGAUAGAGCUCAUAUGUUUUAGCUUGUCUACUAAUAUUGUCCUUGUAGUCACAUCUCAUUGCUUUAUACUGCCCAUCUGGCAUACAGUAUCUUCAACAAAAGUAGAACAGAAAGUAUUUGUGGGGGUGGUACAUCAAAUACAUGUUUUGUGUGUUAUUUUGGUUCUGUGAUAGUUUAGAUUUGACCCUACACAUUGUUGAACUGACAUUUUGUUGAUUUGCCCCCGUUAUGUUUGAUGUCAUGCGUUGCUUGCACUACUAAACCUCGUCAUCUCUGAAUGUCUAAACAUAGAGUGAACCUUAACAUAUCAGUCUACGGGCCCCGUUUGGAGAGAGCAUUGACAUCCUUAGCGUUCAGACACCUCUUGUUUAUCAUGUCAGUCCCACAUUCCAUGAAAUAAUAUCUUUUAUGCCCAUGUUAACCUAAUUUCUACACUAAGAAAUGUAUUUUGCCUAAAUACAUUAGGAGAAGAACCCCAUUGAAAACAGACAAAUGUGGCUGAAUGCUACAUGCCAGAGUCAUAAAGAGAUACUGUAUAUUGCUCUGCUAUUCAUGUUCAAAAGGACAAAAUAUAUAUUUUUUAAUUGUCCACUGAUACAUGCCGAUAUGAUUGGUGGAUGGAAUCAUGAAUAUAUCAACGUUGAGAAGAAUGACCCCUGUCUGCAUGGAAUCGGUUUCCUCAAACUUACCAGACCACUAUCACUGACCUCACUGCCUGUGAACUACGGGUAUUCAAAUCCUAGAAUUAAGGAUUCCAUUCUAUGGUUCCGGCUCCCUUGUGAAUGUCACUUUUGUCUUUGUGAAUGCAUGCGAGAGAGAAUAUAUUGACCACACUCAAUCACGAUAAGCCAUAAUCUGAGCACAUUGAGUGUACACUAACAUCCCAAAAAGCAAUACUCAAUACAGUACAAUGUAUACACUGAGUGUACAAAACAUUAAGAACACCUUCCUAAUAUUGAGUUGCACCCCUUUUUGCCCUCGGAACAGCCUCUUUGUCAGGACAUGGACUCUACAAGGUGUCAAACGUUCCACAGGGAUGCUGACUCCAAUGCUUCCCACAGUUGUCAAGUUGGCUUGAUGUCCUUUAAGUGGUGGACCAUUCUUGAUACAGUGUGGAAAAACCCAGCAGCGUUGCUGUUCUUGACACAAACCAGUGUGCCUGGCACCUACAACCAUACCCCGUUCAAAGGCAUUUAAAUAUUUUGUUUUACCCAGUCACCUCCCUGAAUGGUGCACACACAAUCCAUGUCUCUAGGCUUAAAAAAUCCUUCUUUAACCUGUUUCCUCUCUUCAGCUACACUAAUUUAACAGGUGACAUCAAUAAGGGAUCAUGGCUUUCACCUGGAUUCACCUGGGCAGACGUCAUGGAAAGAGCAGGUGUUCUUAAUGUUUUGUGCACUGUGUGUAUAGUUCAAUGGACUGAGUACACCAUUUCUCAAAAUGUCACAUGUUGGUGUGUUUUGUUUCUUGUUAUGAGCUGAGAGCUUUCACAGACAGCUUUAGCUCCUAUCUCUAUUGCAGAGUUUAUGUUUGGGACAUUGCCAGUAGUGGCUGUAUGAUGCACUUUAUGUAUGUACUGUAUGACAUAGGAGCAUGUUGCUAGCUUGGUUAGCAUAGCCUCCAUUUUAUAACAGCUUAUUUGAAGCAGAGUGCCUUUUCUGUUGUUUUUUGUUGUUUUUUCAUACACGCUGCGUAGCUUUCCAUAUUACUUGUGGUUGAUGUUGGCUCAAUGUUCAUCCCACAUAUUUGUGUAGUCCCUCAAACUAAUUUGAAGUGCCUUGAGUUUCUGCCACUUGCUUUUGAUAUUGCUCUAGUCCACUUUUAGCUCCAUAGAUUUUAGUGUGAAAUGUGAAGAGAGAAAAAUGAUCAUAGAAUUAUUUUUGAUGGAAAUAGGUUUAAAUUACAUUUCCUUUUGUUUUGAACUAGUUUUAGUGUCACGUUAAAGUUGAACACAUGGCUAGUGUCCUGUGGACAAAAUCAAGUAUGAGCUGUGGUUGGUAUGUAACAACUGUUAUUAAAAUCAAUGUGAUUUGUUGUCGGAA
RNA transcript from Oncorhynchus tshawytscha (Chinook salmon), 4672 nucleotides. It is a transcript of the gene named sorting nexin 16, with no coding region annotated. The transcript is spliced from 8 exons. NCBI's taxonomy places the organism in Eukaryota, Metazoa, Chordata, Actinopteri, Salmoniformes, Salmonidae. The record is from RefSeq and is a predicted model, not a curated record.